Molecule: ribosomal RNA, 464 nt
Filed under: Vreelandella stevensii
Lineage: Bacteria; Pseudomonadati; Pseudomonadota; Gammaproteobacteria; Oceanospirillales; Halomonadaceae
Description: partial 16S ribosomal RNA
Rfam family: Bacterial small subunit ribosomal RNA
Source: RNAcentral
CCUAGGGUGGCAGCAGUGGGGAAUAUUGGACAAUGGGGGCAACCCUGAUCCAGCCAUGCCGCGUGUGUGAAGAAGGCCCUCGGGUUGUAAAGCACUUUCAGUGAGGAAGAACGCCUGGUGGUUAAUACCCAUCAGGAAAGACAUCACUCACAGAAGAAGCACCGGCUAACUCCGUGCCAGCAGCCGCGGUAAUACGGAGGGUGCGAGCGUUAAUCGGAAUUACUGGGCGUAAAGCGCGCGUAGGUGGCUUGAUAAGCCGGUUGUGAAAGCCCCGGGCUCAACCUGGGAACGGCAUCCGGAACUGUCAAGCUAGAGUGCAGGAGAGGAAGGUAGAAUUCCCGGUGUAGCGGUGAAAUGCGUAGAGAUCGGGAGGAAUACCAGUGGCGAAGGCGGCCUUCUGGACUGACACUGACACUGAGGUGCGAAAGCGUGGGUAGCAAACAGGAUUAGAUACCCUAGUAGUC